AGAGAUCGGAACGCUAGUUUCGAUGGAGGCAUUGGUGGGAUACUACCCUAGCUGUAUGAACACUCUAACCCGCGCCACUAAUCGUGGCGGGAGACAGUGUCAGGGAGGCAGCUUGACUGGGGCGGGGGCCUCCCACAACAUCCAGCAGGGCGCCCAAAAGUUCCUCCGACAUGGUGGGAAAUAUUUUUAGAGGGAGAAAGUGUAAAGGAGGGAUACUCUGGGGCAUAAAAAACGAGCAGGGACGAAAGUCGGGCUUAGUGAUCCGGUGGUUCCGUAUGGAAGGGCCAUCGCUCAACGGAUAAAAGCUACCCUGGGGAUAACAGGCUUAUCUCCCCCAAGAGUCCACAUCGACGGGGAGGUUUGGCACCUCGAUGUCGGCUCAUCGCAUCCUGGGGCUGUAGUCGGUCCCAAGGGUUGGGCUGUUCGCCCAUUAAAGCGGUACGCGAGCUGGGUUCAGAACGUCGUGAGACAGUUCGGUCCCUAUCCGUCGCGGGCGCAGGAAAUUUGAGAGGAGCUGUCCUUAGUACGAGAGGACCGGGAUGGACGUUCCGCUGGUGUACCAGUUGUGCCGCCAGGCGCAUCGCUGGGUAGCUAUGAACGGAAGGGAUAAACGCUGAAAGCAUCUAAGUGUGAAGCCCCCCUCGAGAUGAGAUUUCCCAUUCCUAUAUGGAAGUAAGACCCCUGAAAGAUGAUCAGGUAGAUAGGCUGGAAGUGGAAGUGCAGCGAUGCAUGGAGCGGACCAGUACUAAUCGGUCGAGGACUUAACCAAG
RNAcentral lists this ribosomal RNA (770 nucleotides) under Lacticaseibacillus rhamnosus K32. Its description in RNAcentral is "bacterial LSU rRNA". It matches the Rfam family "Bacterial large subunit ribosomal RNA", at positions 2158 to 2925 of the family's 2925-position model. The record is from RNAcentral. Lineage: Bacteria; Bacillati; Bacillota; Bacilli; Lactobacillales; Lactobacillaceae.